RNAcentral lists this ribosomal RNA (459 nucleotides) under uncultured bacterium. RNAcentral describes it as "partial 16S ribosomal RNA". It matches the Rfam family "Bacterial small subunit ribosomal RNA", at positions 338 to 795 of the family's 1533-position model. The record is from RNAcentral.
CCUACGGGAGGCAGCAGUGAGGAAUAUUGGUCCAUGGGCGCGAGCCUGAACCAGCCAAGUCGCGUGAGGGAAGACGGUCCUAUGGAUUGUACACCUCUUUUGUCGGGGAGCAAAAGACGCCACGCGUGGCGUUCCGAGAGUACCCGAAGAAAAAGCAUCGGCUAACUCCGUGCCAGCAGCCGCGGUAAUACGGAGGAUGCGAGCGUUAUCCGGAUUUGUUGGGUUUAAAGGGUGCGCAGGCGGAAGAUCAAGUCAGCGGUAAAAUUGAGAGGCUCAACCUCUUCGAGCCGUUGAAACUGGUUUUCUUGAGUGAGUGAGAAGUAUGCGGAAUGCGUGGUGUAGCGGUGAAAUGCAUAGAUAUCACGCAGAACUCCGAUUGCGAAGGCAGCAUACCGGCGCUCAACUGACGCUCAUGCACGAAAGUGUGGGUAUCGAACAGGAUUAGAUACCCGGGUAGUC